AGAAAAGUAUUUAAAAAAGAAAUAAAAUCUAAUUUGCAAUUAGAAAUUGAAGUUUUCCUUUUCUG
Molecule: transfer RNA, 65 nt
Filed under: Dermacentor everestianus
Lineage: Eukaryota; Metazoa; Arthropoda; Arachnida; Ixodida; Ixodidae
Description: tRNA-Ala
Source: RNAcentral